RNAcentral lists this ribosomal RNA (450 nucleotides) under uncultured bacterium. Its description in RNAcentral is "partial 16S ribosomal RNA". It matches the Rfam family "Bacterial small subunit ribosomal RNA", at positions 354 to 796 of the family's 1533-position model. The record is from RNAcentral.
GUGGGGAAUAUUGGACAAUGGGCGAAAGCCUGAUCCAGCCAUGCCGCGUGUGUGAAGAAGGUCUUCGGAUUGUAAAGCACUUUAAGUUGGGAGGAAGGGCAGUAAGUUAAUACCUUGCUGUUUUGACGUUACCGACAGAAUAAGCACCGGCUAACUUCGUGCCAGCAACCGCGGUAAUACGAAGGGUGCAAGCGUUAAUCGGAAUUACUGGGCGUAAAGCGCGCGUAGGUGGUUUUGUAAGUUGGAGGUGAAAUCCCCGGGCUCAACCUGGGAACUGCCUCCAGAACUGCAUGACUAGAGUACGGUAGAGGGUAGUGGAAUUUCCUGGGUAGCGGUGAAAUGCGUAGAUAUAGGAAGGAACACCAGUGGCGAAGGCGACUACCUGGACUGAUACUGACACUGAGGUGCGAAAGCGUGGGGAGCAAACAGGAUUAGAAACCCCGGUAGUCC